UUGGCCCUACGGGGCGCAGCAGUGAGGAAUAUUGGUCAAUGGCCGCAGGGCUGAACCAGCCAAGUCGCGUGAGGGAUGACGGUCCUAUGGAUUGUAAACCUCUUUUGUCAGGGAGCAAAGGGCGCCACGUGUGGCGCUUUGCGAGUACCUGAAGAAAAAGCAUCGGCUAACUCCGUGCCAGCAGCCGCGGUAAUACGGAGGAUGCGAGCGUUAUCCGGAUUUAUUGGGUUUAAAGGGUGCGCAGGCGGGAGAUCAAGUCAGCGGUAAAAUGUCGGGGCUCAACCCCGGCCGGCC
This 294-nucleotide ribosomal RNA is filed under the name uncultured bacterium. RNAcentral describes it as "partial 16S ribosomal RNA". It matches the Rfam family "Bacterial small subunit ribosomal RNA", at positions 333 to 625 of the family's 1533-position model. The record is from RNAcentral.